CUGAAAACGGGGUUGGUGGUGCACAAGAAACUGGGAGAGAGCACGCCAGGUCAGCUGAUUCUAACUGGCCAUGUGGCAUCAUGCUCAGCACAUAAACUACAGGGGAAGCUGGCUAAGGGCUGCUGCUUGGGAAGUGGCUGGGAAUCUGCUGGUUGGUGUUUGGAUGUCAUUAGAAAAUCUAAAAUGUGAAUCAAAUAGGAAGCCAAGACCAGAGUGCAAUGCUUCCUUUGACUUCAUUCUUUCAAACACCAGGUCCCAUAUGAGCCAAGAAGAAAGAGAAAGGAGAUGGAAGGAGA
Molecule: long non-coding RNA, 296 nt
Organism: Passer domesticus (house sparrow)
Lineage: Eukaryota; Metazoa; Chordata; Aves; Passeriformes; Passeridae
Exons: 3
Source: RefSeq, a predicted model, not a curated record